This 445-nucleotide ribosomal RNA is filed under the name uncultured bacterium. Its description in RNAcentral is "partial 16S ribosomal RNA". It matches the Rfam family "Bacterial small subunit ribosomal RNA", at positions 354 to 796 of the family's 1533-position model. The record is from RNAcentral.
GUGAGGAAUAUUGGUCAAUGGGCGGGAGCCUGAACCAGCCAAGUCGCGUGAAGGAAGAAGGAUCUAUGGUUCGUAAACUUCUUUUGCAGGGGAAUGAAGUGCGGGACGUGUCCUGUUUUGUAUGUACCCUGAGAAUAAGGAUCGGCUAACUCCGUGCCAGCAGCCGCGGUAAUACGGAGGAUCCGAGCGUUAUCCGGAUUUAUUGGGUGUAAAGGGUGCGGAGGUGGUUUGAUAAGUCAGCGGUGAAAGUUUGCAGCUUAACUGUAAAAAUGCCGUUGAUACUGUCGGACUUGAGUGUAAAUGAGGUAGGCGGAAUGCGUGGUGUAGCGGUGAAAUGCAUAGAUAUCACGCAGAACUCCGAUUGCGAAGGCAGCUUACUAAGCUACAACUGACACUGAAGCACGAAAGCGUGGGGAUCAAACAGGAUUAGAUACCCCUGUAGUCC